RNAcentral lists this unclassified non-coding RNA (387 nucleotides) under soil metagenome. RNAcentral's name for it is "partial contains 5.8S ribosomal RNA, internal transcribed spacer 2, and large subunit ribosomal RNA". The stretch from base 1 to 120 matches the Rfam family "5.8S ribosomal RNA", at positions 35 to 154 of the family's 154-position model. The record is from RNAcentral.
GAUGAAGAACGUAGCGAAAUGCGAUAAGUAAUGUGAAUUGCAGAAUUCAGUGAAUCAUCGAAUCUUUGAACGCACAUUGCGCCCAUUAGUAUUCUAGUGGGCAUGCCUGUUCGAGCGUCAUUAAUUCCACUUAAGCCCUGCUUAGUGUUGGGAAUCUACUCUAGUGGAGCUACCCUGGAGCUACCCCUGAAAGGGGGCUGGCCCGGUAGCUACCCUGUAGUUCCUCAAAGAUAGUGCGCGGAGUUGCGUGGUCCUCUGAGCUUAGUAACUAUACACCUAGCUUUUGAGUGUCCCGCGGCGCCUGCCGUUUAAACCCCAUCUUUUAAUGGUUGACCUCGGAUCAGGUAGGAAUACCCGCUGAACUUAAGCAUAUCAAUAAGCGGAGGA